AUCAGACACGGUGUCAGCCGCCGCGGUAAUACGAAGGGUGCAAGCGUUACUCGGAAUUACUGGGCGUAAAGCGUGCGUAGGUGGUUGUUUAAGUCUGUUGUGAAAGCCCUGGGCUCAACCUGGGAAUUGCAGUGGAUACUGGGCGACUAGAGUGUGGUAGAGGGUAGUGGAAUUCCCGGUGUAGCAGUGAAAUGCGUAGAGAUCGGGAGGAACAUCCAUGGCGAAGGCAGCUACCUGGACCAACACUGACACUGAGGCACGAAAGCGUGGGGAGCAAACAGGAUUAGAUACCCUGGUAGUCCACGCCCUAAACGAUGCGAACUGGAUGUUGGGUGCAAUUUGGCACGCAGUAUCGAAGCUAACGCGUUAAGUUCGCCGCCUGGGGAGUACGGUCGCAAGACUGAAACUCAAAGGAAUUGACGGG
Molecule: ribosomal RNA, 424 nt
Filed under: uncultured bacterium
Lineage: Bacteria
Description: bacterial SSU rRNA
Rfam family: Bacterial small subunit ribosomal RNA
Source: RNAcentral